This 1406-nucleotide long non-coding RNA is filed under the name Aedes aegypti (yellow fever mosquito). Its description in RNAcentral is "lncRNA AAEL026626". The record is from RNAcentral. Lineage: Eukaryota; Metazoa; Arthropoda; Insecta; Diptera; Culicidae.
AUCAUAGGUAUAUGAAAGAGGUUUUUGAUGGACAUCUUGCAAACUAAGAAAAACUCAAAUUGUUCUUUAUAAUAUACGGAAUUUACAGAAUCGUCUGUAUUGUGAUAUACUGUGGUAUCACGUUCGGAAGUGAUAAAAGCGAAAUAAAUCGUCGUCUGAUCACUUGUGAUCUGGCGCUCAACCUAGAAGCACGUUACUCUUAUUUUUACUCCCCAAACCCGAAAUUGUUCCUUCGUGAGUUAACUUAAACUACUAUAAAAACUUAAAAGUUGGCGACGAGAAUAAAAAGUUUUUGUGCAAGUGGAUAAUUACGGCAGAAUUACGCGAGUGCAAGUGACGAAAAUUAGAGGGAUAAUCGUACGAAGCAACCUAUAGAAGCUGGCUUUUUCGACGCAUGCACACUAUUCUUAAUUGUUGAGAACGCCAUUUCAUUGGCGUCGAUUUCAGAGAACAAAGGCAGUUGUUCAAUAGCAUAUUAUACAAUAGCCUUUGAUCUUUCUUUAAAGCGACUUAGAAUUGAAGAAGUUGUGAGAUUAUUAGCGUUUCUUAUCAAAAGUGCCUUCCUUUCUAUUUUUAUUCAAGGUUUUCGUGCAUCAGAGCACCCUUGCUCGAACCAGCGUCGUUCUAUCCGGCCAGCUACUAGAGGCUGAAGUCCAGUUGACACGUGGUCGGCAUCCGCUGAAAACGCUGUACUUCAUACCUACACGGAGAAAAAACGCCCUAGUUUGAAACAACCAACAUGUUUGUUGAAUUUCAAACUGCAAAUUUUGUUAUUUUAAAUCCAAAAUUUGUUGUUCCAAAUUCAUUGUUUUGUUUAAAACUAAUUUGUUUAUUAGGUUGUUUCAAUAUGAAAUCUUGUGUCGUUAUAAUGUGAAUAAUUGUUGUUUCAAACUAAGCUUUUAGGUUGUUUCUACAAACGGCUGGUUUGAUUUUACUAAAAAUUAGGUUAUUUGUUUCUCUAGGUGUCAAAAUAGAAUAAUGGGUUGGUUCGACCAAAAUUGUACGUUGAAUCAAACUAAGAUUUUAUUUGGAUUAGAAACAACCAAAAUUUCAGUUUGAAACUAACCAACUUCAUGUGUUGUUUCUACGAAAGCAAAACUGGUCAACUCAAAUAUGUUAAGUAACUGCAAUUUGUUCCCAGUGAUAAGCAUUUCAACUGGAGUUGCUUGUGAAGAUCCUAUAACGAACGAGAAAUGCUGCGGCUAACCCUUCAUUUUUCUGUUGAAUUCCGAAGCAGAAUGAUUGGAGAAAGUAUGCGUCAUGGCAGAAAAUUUCCAGAAGAUAAGGGCGUGCAGUUUUCGAAAGCAAGAGCCUGGUGUUUCAGGAAUUAUGAUAUGUAAUAAUUAUCUUUGAAGACAUCUACUUUACGAAACCUAAAUGAAUAAUAUAAUAUACCUCAUAAAAUA